AGUGAACGCUGGCGGUAGGCCUAACACAUGCAAGUCGAACGGCAGCACAGUAAGAGCUUGCUCUUACGGGUGGCGAGUGGCGGACGGGAGAGGAAUACAUCGGAAUCUACUUUUUCGUGGGGGAUAACGUAGGGAAACUUACGCUAAUACAGCAUACGACCUACGGGGGAAAGCAGGGGAUCUUCGGACCUUGCGCGAUUGAAUGAGCCGAAGUCGGAUUAGGUAGUUGGAGGGGUAAAGGCCCACCAAGGCGACGAUCCGUAGCUGGUCUGAGAGGGUGGUCGGCCACACUGGAUCUGAGGCACGGUCCAGACUCCUACGGGAGGCAGCAGUGGGGAAUAUUCGACAAUGGGCGCAAGCCUGCACCAGCCAUACCGCGGGGGUGAAGAAGGCCUUCGGGUUGUAAAGCCCUUUUGUUGGGAAAGAAAAGCAGCAGGUUAAUACCCCGCUGUUCUGACGGUACCCAAAGAAUAAGCACCGGCUAACUUCGU
RNAcentral lists this ribosomal RNA (491 nucleotides) under uncultured bacterium. RNAcentral describes it as "partial 16S ribosomal RNA". It matches the Rfam family "Bacterial small subunit ribosomal RNA", at positions 29 to 506 of the family's 1533-position model. The record is from RNAcentral.